RNAcentral lists this ribosomal RNA (252 nucleotides) under uncultured bacterium. RNAcentral describes it as "partial 16S ribosomal RNA". It matches the Rfam family "Bacterial small subunit ribosomal RNA", at positions 524 to 776 of the family's 1533-position model. The record is from RNAcentral.
UACGAAGGGUGCAAACGUUGCUCGGAAUUAUUGGGCGUAAAGCGCACGUAGGCGGCUUAGCAAGUCGGAAGUAAAUCCCACGGCUCAACCAUGGAAGUGCUUUCGAAACUGCUGAGCUUGAGUACGAAAGAGGAUCGCGGAAUUCCCGGUGUAGAGGUGAAAUUCGUAGAUAUCGGGAGGAACACCAGUGGCGAAGGCGGCGAUCUGGGUCGAUACUGACGCUGAGGUGCGAAAGCGUGGGGAGCAAACAGG